Molecule: long non-coding RNA, 776 nt
Organism: Trematomus bernacchii (emerald rockcod)
Lineage: Eukaryota; Metazoa; Chordata; Actinopteri; Perciformes; Nototheniidae
Exons: 2
Source: RefSeq, a predicted model, not a curated record
GACCAGGGACAGUUGGAACACGGGUUGGUUGUAACACCUUCAAUAUCUCCAAUCACAAACAAGCUAGAGUGAUGACACUCACUCUGCACAUGCGCAGUUAGAUGGUGAGAUCGAUGAGAAAAAACGGAGCCACGUUUGAAUUUCUCGCGUAAGAUAUCGGCAAAAGUGUGUUUCUGAGUAUGUCAAAUGUCAGAAAGAGGAAGACAGACAGGGGAGUGCCACUUGCUCUGCUGCAGAUGGGCUCAAAUUAAGUUCAGGAGGGCAAAUCAUUCAGGGAAGUGGCAAAGUCCCUGGAUAUAUGCCAUGUCACCCUGUACCGGUUCCAUAAGAAGAGGCUGAGGUUGGAGAGUCAGACAAACCCAACAAGAAGCAGAAGAUACAGGACUCAUCUGAUGAAGAUGAGGCCCAAUACUGCAUUGUGUGCCUGGAGAGCUACUCCAGGUCCAAGGAGAUCUGGCUGCAGUGUUGCUCCUGUAAAGCCUGGGCACACAAGGACUGCACAGAUGGAAGUGCCUUUUACACCUGCCACAACUGUGAAUCUGAUUAAUUCUGGUGUUCUGUUUUAAGUUCUGUUCAAGUUCUGUUAAUUGUUCAUUGUUUGUUGGAGGAUGUGUGAAACCCCAUUUAAAAUCUUGUUGCCUUAGAAUUUGACUGCUUUCCCUAUUUUUUGUCAUGUAGUGUGAAAAAAGGUAACCGUUAUUAACAUGUUACAACCGUGCCUGGCAUGUGCUACAACUGUCCCUGUACACAAGGACAGUUGUAACAGUUGAGUUUUU